GCGGCAGCAGAGGGAGAAUCUGCGGAAGCAGGAGAUGGGCGAUCUGAAAGAGAAGGCGGCGGUGAGGGAGAACACCACGCUGAAAACCAGGCAGACGCUGGAGAGGAUGGAAAGCCAGCUGAUCCUGGAUCAGCAGAGUCUGGACACUGCCAUGCUCCUGCCGUUGUGUUGCAUGGGUAACAAAGCGGCAGCAGCAGCCGACCCCCCCAGUGAUCCAGUGACCCCCG
Megalops cyprinoides (Indo-Pacific tarpon) is the source of this 227-nucleotide long non-coding RNA. RefSeq lists it as uncharacterized. The record is from RefSeq and is a predicted model, not a curated record. The transcript is spliced from 3 exons. Lineage: Eukaryota; Metazoa; Chordata; Actinopteri; Elopiformes; Megalopidae.